ACCGGCAAAUAGUGGUGGCUCAACUGGUAGAGCAACUGACUUGUAAUCAGUAGGUUGGGGGUUCAAGUCCUCUUGCCGGCA
RNAcentral lists this transfer RNA (81 nucleotides) under Bacillus safensis. RNAcentral's name for it is "tRNA-Thr". The stretch from base 16 to 73 matches the Rfam family "tRNA", at positions 8 to 63 of the family's 71-position model. Rfam says of the family: Transfer RNA (tRNA) molecules are approximately 80 nucleotides in length. Their secondary structure includes four short double-helical elements and three loops (D, anti-codon, and T loops). Further hydrogen bonds mediate the characteristic L-shaped molecular structure. tRNAs have two regions of fundamental functional importance: the anti-codon, which is responsible for specific mRNA codon recognition, and the 3' end, to which the tRNAs corresponding amino acid is attached (by aminoacyl-tRNA synthetases). tRNAs cope with the degeneracy of the genetic code in two manners: having more than one tRNA (with a specific anti-codon) for a particular amino acid; and 'wobble' base-pairing, i.e. permitting non-standard base-pairing at the 3rd anti-codon position. Lineage: Bacteria; Bacillati; Bacillota; Bacilli; Caryophanales; Bacillaceae. The record is from RNAcentral.